GAUAGUUUGAAUGCUUCAGUUUUCAAAAACAGAAAAAAAUUCCCUAUACAGGCCCAGGUACCCAUCGCUUCUCUGUGUGCUGGAAGAACUACAAAGAAUGAGAUGAGUCAUUGGUGUUUGGACAAUGUCUCCACCUAGAAACAAAGAUGAAGACUAUUACAUUUUAAAACACACAUUUCCUUCACUGGAUGCUUUAUGCAGAAAAGCUGAGCCUGCAGGAUAUGAACCAGAUGGAGAAAAAGUUUGA
RNAcentral lists this long non-coding RNA (247 nucleotides) under Struthio camelus australis. RNAcentral's name for it is "lncRNA (ENSSCUG00000018176.1)". Lineage: Eukaryota; Metazoa; Chordata; Aves; Struthioniformes; Struthionidae. The record is from RNAcentral.